This 599-nucleotide ribosomal RNA is filed under the name Limimaricola soesokkakensis. RNAcentral's name for it is "bacterial SSU rRNA". It matches the Rfam family "Bacterial small subunit ribosomal RNA", at positions 98 to 732 of the family's 1533-position model. The record is from RNAcentral. Lineage: Bacteria; Pseudomonadati; Pseudomonadota; Alphaproteobacteria; Rhodobacterales; Paracoccaceae.
GCGGACGGGUUAGUAACGCGUGGGAACGUGCCCUUCUCUACGGAAUAGUCCCGGGAAACUGGGUUUAAUACCGUAUACGCCCUUCGGGGGAAAGAUUUAUCGGGGAAGGAUCGGCCCGCGUCUGAUUAGAUAGUUGGUGGGGUAAUGGCCUACCAAGUCGACGAUCAGUAGCUGGUUUGAGAGGAUGAUCAGCAACACUGGGACUGAGACACGGCCCAGACUCCUACGGGAGGCAGCAGUGGGGAAUCUUAGACAAUGGGCGCAAGCCUGAUCUAGCCAUGCCGCGUGAGUGAUGAAGGCCUUAGGGUCGUAAAGCUCUUUCGCUGGGGAAGAUAAUGACUGUACCCAGUAAAGAAACCCCGGCUAACUCCGUGCCAGCAGCCGCGGUAAUACGGAGGGGGUUAGCGUUGUUCGGAAUUACUGGGCGUAAAGCGCGCGUAGGCGGAUUGGAAAGUUGGGGGUGAAAUCCCGGGGCUCAACCCCGGAACGGCCUCCAAAACUAUCAGUCUAGAGGUCGAGAGAGGUGAGUGGAAUUCCGAGUGUAGAGGUGAAAUUCGUAGAUAUUCGGAGGAACACCAGUGGCGAAGGCGGCUCACUGG